This 354-nucleotide ribosomal RNA is filed under the name uncultured bacterium. RNAcentral describes it as "partial 16S ribosomal RNA". It matches the Rfam family "Bacterial small subunit ribosomal RNA", at positions 338 to 709 of the family's 1533-position model. The record is from RNAcentral.
CCUACGGGCGGCAGCAGUGGGGAAUAUUGCACAAUGGGGGAAACCCUGAUGCAGCGACGUCGCGUGAGCGAUGAAGUAUCUCGGUAUGUUAAGCUCUAUCAGCAGGGAAGAAAAUGACGGUACCUGACUAAGAAGCCCCGGCUAACUACGUGCCAGCAGCCGCGGUAAUACGUAGGGGGCAAGCGUUAUCCGGAUUUACUGGGGGUUAAGGGAGCGUAGACGGCGGUGCAAGCCAGAUGUGAAAGCCCGGGGCUCAACCCCGGGACUGCAUUUGGAACUGUGCUGCUAGAGUGUCGGAGAGGCAGGCGGAAUUCCUGGUGUAGCGGUGAAAUGCGUAGAUAUUAGGAAGAACAC